Molecule: long non-coding RNA, 2089 nt
Organism: Gasterosteus aculeatus aculeatus (three-spined stickleback)
Lineage: Eukaryota; Metazoa; Chordata; Actinopteri; Perciformes; Gasterosteidae
Source: Ensembl
GCAGUGGUCCUGCUGUGCGCCUGGCUUACUACUCACAAUUACUUGAAUCAUUUCUGUCAUAGGAAUUGCAUGAUUAUACAUUGUUCAUUCUGUACACAUGCCAUCCAUUGUAUGGGAUCCCUCCUCUGACGUUCUCCCUAAGGUUUCUUUCCUUUUUUUCCUCUUGGAAGGGUUUUUUCAUUUAUCGGGGAGUGCCGAUGGUGGGUUUCGGGACAGAGGAUGUUGUAUGUGUACAGACUGUAAAGCCCUCUGAGGCAAAUUUGUAAUUUGCGGUUUUGGGCUAUACAAAAUAAAAUGAAUUGAAUCGAAUACGAGCUCUGCAGAGCAGAUCAAUCAGGUAGAUCGUUGGUUGGCCAACUCUUUGAUAUGAAGUGUGACUUUUACAUGCAUUAAUGAAAAUGUUCUUGUUAAUUAGUGUGCCAUAUGAACAUUAGCUUCCAGAUUGAGUUUAAUUAGCAUACUGCCAAGCUUUGAUCUCCAGCCGAUCUCUAAUUUAUGCCAUCCAUAGAGGCAACGCUACAGAUCAACACAAGAAAAACAAUUACCAUAACCUGGCCAUGGUAAUUAAGGCCUCAUCCAUAUACAAAAAUUAACCAACCAACCUACCACGAAUCUUACUAAAAUGAGUUUCCAUAUUCCGCAGAGAAAAAAACAACUAUUAGGAAAUCGCAGAUAAAAAAUAUAACGUAAUUAACGGGCUGUGAAGAACGUUUGAUGUAGAGAGAAUACUGUGCCAUUGGAUAAGCUAAUGCAGGCCAGUGUGAGCUGACCUAUUCAUCCGUCAGGAUUGAUUUAAAAUGACAAACCAUUCCUACCUGAAUAUUUAGUGUCCUGCACCUGUGGGGUUUAGGCAGUAUAUUUCCUGAGGAGGUAUAGAGCUGGUUGCUUUCAUAUGUUAAAAUUCUUUCUAAGAAUUCUGUGGAGAAAAAAGUUGUAGCCAGCAUAGUACGGAGCCAAAUCCAGCCCAAAAAAUAUGAACCUGAAAGUUUAAGUUCUGGUCGUGAACAUUGAAAAAUGUAUUCAAAAUAAGUGGAUAUAAAGUAUUUUUAGGUUGUAUAUACUCAGUUAUUCAUACUCAGGGACUUUUGGCCUGGGUCUGGCGUAGGGGGCGGGGCAUCAACCGAGAGGGGCGUGUCAUCAUGAGUCCUGUUGCUUUUGGGGAAGGGACAUGGGUUUACCAAGUUGACCAAAAACUAAUAUAGCAUGAGUUCAACAUCUCGCACGUUGAACAUUAGCAGUGGAACAUAAAGUGUAGAGUACGGUAUAAAACAUUUUCUUGGUAUCAUUGGUGGAAAAGGCGAAUGAAACCAUGUGAGGCCAUUGUGUUAUAUUUGAUCACGUUACGGUUUGGGGGAGUUAUUGGGGUCAAAGCAAAGACAAUAACAAUAUAAAUCGGAGGCACACGGCUUAUGUGGAAAACUGAUCCGGCCAAAACAAAAAUAGUCCCUGUGUCAGUACAGACCGGUGAGGUGGUGGCAUGUCCUCAUGGUUAUGCAGAUAGACAGCACCACAGGGACGGCAAUGAGUUUGUGUUAAAAAUAAAAAAGCUAGCAGGGAGAGGUGAUUCUGCAGAGAAGAGAUAUCAGGAAGAUGAGAGGACAUCCCCUUUAUUCUCAACGAGGAGGAUCCCAACGUCAAUGAGGCAGAUUGAGUCAUCGUCCGAGUCCUUAACUAAUGAUAACACAAUUAUAACAUAUAAUAAUAACAAUUAGUAACGCUUAUCAAUGCAACCUUGUUACAGGAGAGUCAGACACUCGAAGGACUGUGUGAAACGGUUAUGACAGAUUGUAUUACACAGCGGGUUCUUAGAAAUCUGCUGGAUUGCCACUAAGGGAAACAGGAAGCCCUCGGACGUGCGCUGACGUUUGUUGCUGAUGAGGCGCCGACUCUUUCAGCGUCAGAUUUACACAUGAAUAGAGCUUAAAAAUCACCAUUAAAUUGGCCUCUUGCACAUUGACUACUGGUUGUUUUUCAUAAUUCAUGUCAGCGUAAAGAACGCUGACACAGAUUUCAUCCUGAUUAGUUUAACACAUUUUAUCAAGGACACCAAUGUUGAUGACCCCUCAAAAGGUUAAUUUGAAUUAAACUU